This 466-nucleotide ribosomal RNA is filed under the name uncultured bacterium. Its description in RNAcentral is "bacterial SSU rRNA". It matches the Rfam family "Bacterial small subunit ribosomal RNA", at positions 32 to 526 of the family's 1533-position model. The record is from RNAcentral.
AAUCAACGCUGGCGGCGUGCCUAACACAUGCAAGUCGAACGAGAAAGUGGAGCAAUCCAUGAGUAAAGUGGCGACCGGGUGAGUAACACGUGACUAACCUACCUUCGAGUGGGGGAUAACCUCGGGAAACCGGGGCUAAUACCGCAUAAUGCCUUUGGGUUAAAGGAGCAAUUCGCUUGAAGAGGGGGUCGCGGCCGAUUAGGUAGUUGGCGGGGUAACGGCCCACCAAGCCCGUGAUCGGUAGCCGGCCUGAGAGGGCGCACGGCCACACUGGAACUGAAACACGGUCCAGACUCCUACGGGAGGCAGCAGUGGGGAAUUUUGCGCAAUGGGGGAAACCCUGACGCAGCAACGCCGCGUGGAGGAUGAAGUCCCUUGGGACGUAAACUCCUUUCGACCGGGACGAUUAUGACGGUACCGGUGGAAGAAGCCCCGGCUAACUUCGUGCCAGCCGCCGCCGUAAGAC